Molecule: ribosomal RNA, 366 nt
Filed under: uncultured eukaryote
Lineage: Eukaryota
Description: partial 18S ribosomal RNA
Rfam family: Eukaryotic small subunit ribosomal RNA
Source: RNAcentral
CAAUAGCGUAUAUUAACGUUGUUGCAGUUAAAAAGCUCGUAGUUGGAUUUCUGGAGGGAGCGUCGGCCCGUAUUUACGAGUGCGUGACGUCUCUGUCCAUUCUUGCGGGAAGGCACGGCAUUGAUUUGUUGUGUCGGAUCGCAUCAUUUACUGUGAAAAAAUUAGAGUGUUCAAAGCAGGCUUUCGCUUGAAUACAUUAGCAUGGAAUAAUAAGAUAGGACUUUGGUGCUAUUUUGUUGGUUGAGCCUAAAGUAAUGAUUAAUAGGGAUAGUUGGGGGCACCUGUAUUGCGUUGUCAGAGGUGAAAUUCUUGGAUUUACGCAAGACAAACAGCUGCGAAAGCGUCUGCCAAGGAUGUUUUCAUUAA